CAUAUUGGAUUCGGGCGGAAGUGGCUAAUAGAACCCAAGCACAGUAGCCGGGAUUUUUAGUUCUGUUGUAGAGAAGUCUUCGGAGAUGCCUUUCGGGGCCGAGGCCUGACUAAGAAUAAUCGUUUCCGCUGCCCACGGUGAGGGACAGAGUAGAAUGGCGCUCGUCCUAGAGCUCGGCGCCAAUGUCUGAAGGCUGCCGGAGGAAGGCCGCUCUAGUGCGAUUCCGGGUUCUUCCGCCUCGCUGGUGGAGUCGGAGGGACCAAAGCAGGCGUUCUGUCCCGUUUCCGGGGGCGUCUCUAUGGUGUCGGCUGGACCGAACUCUGGUCAGCGGACACUGGGGCAGCAGCCUGGAGGGGCGGGGGGAAGGUCAGGGGUCAUAGGUGGUGUUGGUGGCUAAGCAGGGGCCGACCCGAACCAGGAUCCUCUGCCUCUUGGCGCUGCAGUCCCAGCAGGUCUGUGUUUCUGAAAAGAACCUCAUCUCAACUUCACUGCUCAAGGGAUGGGAUCAGAGAAUAGUGCUUUAAAGAGCUACACCCUUCAAGAGCCACCCUUUAGCCUCCCUGCUGGACUGGCUGUUUACCCAGCUGUGCUACAAGAUGGCAAGCUCGCUUCGGUUUUUGUAUACAAGAGAGAAAAUGAAGACAAGGUUAAUAAAGCUGCUAAGCACUUGAAAACUCUGCGCCACCCAUGCUUGCUGCGUUUCCUGUCCUGCACUGUGGACACCAACGGCAUCCAUCUGGUCACAGAAAGAGUGCAGCCUCUUGACGUGGCUCUGGAAACGCUGUCUGCCGCAGAGCUCUGUGCCGGCAUCUACGAUGUACUCCUGGCUCUCAUCUUCCUUCACGACAGAGGAAACCUAACGCACAACAAUGUCUGUUUGUCAUCUGUGUUUGUAAGUGAGGAUGGGCACUGGAAGCUAGGAGGAAUGGAAACAGUCUGUAAGGUCUCUGAAGCCACGCCAGAGUUUCUGAGAAGCAUUCAAUCAUUGAGAGACCAGGGAUCUGUCCCUCCUGAAGAAAUGUCUGCAGAAUUCAGAAUUUUGCCGGAGAAAAAUGGACACGCCCGAGAUGCCUAUUCAUUUGGAAUAAUGGUGGAAAAUUUGCUCACAAUCCUAGGUGAACAGGUUUCAGCAGAUAGCCUCUUGGGCUUCCAGCAGACCUUGCGCGCAACACUCUUGAACCCUGAUCCAGAGGGUCGGCCGGCACUCUGUACCUUACUGUCUCAUGACUUCUUUAGAAAUGAUUUCCUGGAAAUUGUGAAUUUCCUGAAGAGUUUAACAUUAAAGAGUGAAGAAGAAAAAACUGAAUUUUUUAAAUUUCUGCUUGAUAGAGUCAGCGGCUUGUCACAGGAACUGAUAGCUUCAAGAUUGGUCCCUCUACUGCUUAACCAACUGGUGUUUGCAGAACCAGUAGCUGUCAAAAGUUUUCUUCCUCACUUGCUUGGUCCAAAGAAAGAUAAGCAGGGAGAGAAACGGACAGGUUGUUUGCUUUCACCAGCUCUGUUUCAAGCCCGAGUGAUCCCUGUGCUUUUGAAGCUGUUUGAAGUUCAUGAAGAACAUGUCCGGAUGGUGCUUCUGUCUCACAUAGAUGCCUAUGCAAAAUACUUCACUCAGGAGCAGCUAAAAAAAGUCAUCUUGCCACAGGUUUUGUUGGGCCUGCGUGAUACCAAUGAUUCCAUUGUAGCCAUAACCCUUCACAGCCUGGCUGUGCUGGUGUCCCUACUUGGACCAGAGGUGGUCGUUGGAGGAGAAAGAACCAAGAUAUUCAAACGCACAGCACCAAGUUUCACAAAAAUAGCUGAUCUUUCUCUAGAAGGUGAGGAGGCUCCUCAGCCUGUUCAGCUCUCUGUGAAUGGAGUCCCACCAAUGAGAAGUGCUUUAGGAGGUGGUACAAACUUUCCCUCAAAUUCUAAAAAAUCAGGAGAGGAAUGGCCAGAUUGGAGUGAGCCUGAGGAGCCCUCUGAGAACCAGAUGGUGGACAUACAGAUAUGGCCUGUAGAAUCGUGCGAUACUCCUAGGCCUCAGUUCACUAACUUGACUCUGGAGGAGACCUGGGAUGGUUUUGAGCCUACUGAUACUAACACAUCUACAGGGAAUGACCCCAGUCCAGCUAGGCCCAAUAAUACAAGAGAGCAGAAGCAAGAUUCUGUUGUCCUUCCUCUAGCCAAAAAGGAGACCAAGCCUCUAAAAGUGAAUCCAUCCCAAAAGGCUGACCUUCCAGAAAGCUUGGAGGAUUUAAAGCAAAUAAAAUUGCCACAAGAGAGGCCUCCUAAAGCUCCAUCUGAAUUUGGUUUAGGAGAAGAAUAUACUAUUCAGGUGAAAAGAAAACCAAUACAAGAUCCAGAGUUGGACUGGUUUGCUGAUAUGAUCCCAGAAAUUAAACCUUCAGAAGCUUUCCUGAUCCUCCCUGAAUUGAGGACAGAAAGGGUGGUCUCCAAAGAAGAUGCCUCGACUACUUUGCAAUUUUCAUCAAAAUUUGCUGCAACUGAAGCUACAGAGGGAGAAGCUGAGGGCUGGGGAGAAGAAGAAGAAUUAAAUUGGGAAGAAGAUGAUAGUAGCUGGUGACAACUAGCAUGAUGCACACCCCAGAAAUAUUUUCUAUAUUGGUUUUACAAAUUAUUACCUCAACAGCAGGCACCUAGCAGAGAGGUCAUGAUGACCCCAACAGAGCCUAUUUUUCCUGUACCAGGAAGCUUUUUUUUUCUUCCAGUUUGUGCCAAUUGCUGUGAGUAACUGAGACCUAUGCUAAAAGCCAUAGGUGGAAAUAAAGUUCACACCACUGGAUUCUAGAAGAAAGGAGCUAUUUGUAUGUGAGGCCAGAUUCCAUGAAGAACAAGUGCUGUGGAAAGUAAAGAAAAAACAGAUGUCUCCAAGUUCGGAAGAAUUAAAAGGAUGAUCUCAUGGAUGAAGACACCAAAAGGGGAAAACAGAUCAAGAGAGAUGUGAAGUUCUCAAAAAUGAAAAUUUGAAAACUAUAAAUAAUGCUGAAGAGGAAGAAAAAAAGGAGGCAUCUAAGAAGAAUGAGAGGUUGCUGAUGAGCUGCAAUUAAAACAUUAUAUACAAAAGAAGUGGCACACAUAGGGGAACUAUAGAUAAGAGGAAAAGUGGUAGAUGGUAAAAAUAGUAUCAGGAAGAUGAAAGCGUGGACUGAAUUAAGAUUUGUAAAAAUGUAUAAGGAUGGGAUAAAUUAGCAUUACUAGGCAUAGUUGGACCAAGAAUACAGAAGAGACAGAGGGUGUAUCAUGUAUGUUAACAGCUUACCAAGAGAAAUGAGAACAUCUGAUAUUCUAGAAAUCCUGACCAAGUGAUUUUCAAUAAUUUAUUCUAAAACUGAAUUAAGAAACUAUAUAGAUUAAUGCAUUUUAUAGAGUACAGCCUUUUCAAAAGAAAAGAACUAGGCCUAAGUCACUUUUAGGACACAAGUACAAAGGAUUAUCUUCUCAUACCUACUUGUUUUUAAUGCUUAGAUACAUUCUAGUACCACACAACUUGUUUUAAGAGUUUUAAGAGUUUUUUUAAGAGUAAGUUUUCAGGACAACCCAAGCACAAAUGACAUGAAACCCAUUCUUUCAUGGCACUCAGCUUCAAAAUCUAAUUGGUAACCUCAAUUUUUAUAAGAAUUUAAACUCAACGAAUAAUUUACCAAGUGUCUACUAUGGACAAGAAACCGUGCUAGGUCUAGAGUAUACAGACAUGGAUGAAAGCAUCUGUGACUUUAAGGGGCUUAUGGCUUCCUAAGGAGGAAAAAACCCUCUACAUAAAAACAUUAUUACAAGGGAAUCUGACUGUAAAAGGGAAAGAAGAUUAACAAUUGGCUGAGAAGAACAUGGCAGAGGUCAAGGAAAGCCUCACUGAGGAAACGGUAUUUCACUGAGUUUGACGUGAGCUGAGAACAAAAGAGGACGGCCUUCACCAGUGCCUAGACGCACCGUCUCAAAUGAGAAGUGUAUGAAGGUGAGGGUGAAAGAGCUGAGAAUGGUGGGCUGGGGAGCCAGCCAGAGACACUGGACUUUCCUCAUCUGACCACUGCCUUAGGAAGACUAUAUUGAAAACUAAAUGGAGACUAAUCAGAAGGAGGAAAAAUUCGGGGAGGAGAAACUGCACAGAAAGCUACUCCAAUAGGACCAGCAGGAGGCAGUACGCUCCUGACCCAAGGGAGUGGCUAUGAAAGUGGAAGGAAGUAGAAAGGCACAAGAGACACUGUGGAAGCAGAACUGACCAUGCCUGGCAGCUGACUGGAUAAGGGAGUGAGGGAGAGAAGAGUCAUCAAUCAUGACAUGAAAUUAUGACUAUAAACUGGGGUAAAGAGAAGAUGAUGAUACUCUCAACAAAAAGGGAUAUGGAGGCAGGUGGGUAGCUCAGUGGAUUGAAAGCCAGGUCUAGAUAUGGAAGUACCAAGUUCCUAGCCCUUAUCCUUCUACCUUGGAACCAAUACUUAAUAUUGAUUCUAAGAUGGAAGGUGUUUUUGUUUUGGUUGGUUAUGAAGAGGGAAAUGUAGAGGAAGUUACCUUUUAGCAAGUAAGCAAGCCAUUUGAAAUAUUUAAAGAAAUAUAGAUGGAGUGUUCUAAUAGGCAAAUGGAAGUGUAAGCAUGGAGGAAAGAGAUUAGGGCUGUAUACAUAGGGAUGAGCCAUCUGAUUGGCAGAGAACUGAAGCCCUUCUGACUAGGCACCCCAUUUUGUAACCUUUGGGGCAUCCUUCUCUCUUCCCUAUCAUUCAGCCCCAACAUCCAAUCAGCUGCUGUCUUGUUGAAAGAAGGAACAAAUGACCCUGGAGGAGACUAUGGAUUGUUUUCCAGAAAAAGUGUAAUUCCUCUGAUUCUAAGAAAAUGGAACAAAGAGGAGUCUAAUAAUAUUUGGGGAUUUCAAAGAAAAAUAAUGAGUGUUUUUUUUAAUGUUGUCCUGCAAAAUAGAAUACAAAUAAUGUAAGUAGGCAUUCAUUACACAAAAAAAAUUUAACUAAAAGGGGACAUUCAAGCUAUUACAUUUAUAGUAUUUCACAGAAAGGUUAUAUAAAAGUGAACAUAAAAUAGGCUUUAUUUUGGCUCUUUAUAAAUAAAAUACCUUUUCUAGAAAGCAUA
This is a non-coding RNA of Monodelphis domestica (gray short-tailed opossum), 5076 nucleotides long. The record is from RefSeq and is a predicted model, not a curated record. Lineage: Eukaryota; Metazoa; Chordata; Mammalia; Didelphimorphia; Didelphidae.